GUGAGUACGGUAGUGUACUAAACAGAGUGAGUACGGUAGUGUACUAAACAGAGUGAGUACGGUAGUGUGCCAAACAGAGUGAGUACGGUAGUGUAGUAAACAGAGUGAGUACGGUAGUGUGCUAAACAGAGUGAGUACUGUAAUGCACAAACAGAGUGAGUACGGCAGUAAACAGAGUGAGUACGGUAGUGAAGCAAACAGAGUGAGUACGGUAGCAAACAGAGUGAGUACGGUAGUGUACCAAACAGAGUGAGUACGGUAGUAA
RNAcentral lists this long non-coding RNA (265 nucleotides) under Salmo salar (Atlantic salmon). Its description in RNAcentral is "lncRNA (ENSSSAG00000115903.1)". The record is from RNAcentral. Lineage: Eukaryota; Metazoa; Chordata; Actinopteri; Salmoniformes; Salmonidae.